Molecule: non-coding RNA, 448 nt
Organism: Xyrichtys novacula (pearly razorfish)
Lineage: Eukaryota; Metazoa; Chordata; Actinopteri; Labriformes; Labridae
Source: the annotation of a GenBank genome assembly
AGCUGUUCAACAUUUCCCAUAGUAAUCCAAGUGGCAAAUACGAUCGACGAAGCAAUCAGUUAAUCAAUUUUAAAAGAUUCACAAAAACUUGAAAUGAAUCAUUUACACACAAAUCGAAGCAAGUAAAUAGGCUACAAUGAAAUUAAGAUAGGGGAGAGUGGGGUAAGAUGAGACAUUUUUUCUAUUUGGGAUCACUACAUCAAGGCAAUCAUAGUUUUGUCUCUAACUAGUGUAUCUGCAAAUAUUUCAAGAUGUUGUGCAUCCCUGCAAACCAACAGAAUGAGUGUUAACAUAACUGUCUUGAUAAUAUAGCAUGCCAAAAAAAAAGGGGGUCUCCUAUGGUCAACUUACCCCGUGUCUGGGGUAAGUUGACCAUAGGAGCGGGGUAAGUUGAGCCGUAUCCCUACUACCCCUACUCAACUUACCCCACUCUCCCCUACAAUUAAAA